This 225-nucleotide ribosomal RNA is filed under the name Triticum aestivum (bread wheat). RNAcentral describes it as "partial small subunit ribosomal RNA". The record is from RNAcentral. Lineage: Eukaryota; Viridiplantae; Streptophyta; Magnoliopsida; Poales; Poaceae.
AUGAAUUGCCUAAGUUGGAGCUGCCGGGGAGGGGGGAAUUCUCGGACAGUUUGAGAAAUUGUGAUGUUGUCUCAGUCGCAUUCCCCCAUGAUUGUUUUUCUUUGUGAAACAAGACAGAAGGAAAGCAAGAUGAAGAGAAUUCGUGGUCGACUUGGUCUGAAGGGGUUUGUAGGGGUGGAUAGUAACGGAUUGAGCGGAGGCCUUGCAUUGUUUUGGUAUGAAUCU